Papilio machaon (common yellow swallowtail) is the source of this 434-nucleotide long non-coding RNA. RefSeq lists it as uncharacterized. The transcript has 3 exons. Lineage: Eukaryota; Metazoa; Arthropoda; Insecta; Lepidoptera; Papilionidae. The record is from RefSeq and is a predicted model, not a curated record.
AGGCUAUCUGCCUGACGAGCUGCCCGACUUGGCCGGUGCUAUCGACCCGCCUGCAUGGCUGCUCGCGCCCGACCUCUGCGCGGACAAUGGCAUUUACUUCCGGGGGGAGGCUGGGCGUGCGCUGGAGGAGGUGAGCGAGCGGUCUGUGGUGAGCGUGGAGUUUCUGUGCGACGGGCGGCUGGUGGCGGCGGCGGAUGGUCGGCCGCUGUGCGCGCUCGGCCUCGUGCCAGACACCCUUGAUGUCCUCUACCCACUCGUAGAUGUCUACGGCAAAGUUUGCCAGGUGUCAAUAUUGCUUCACCCAUACGUACUAGGGAGUGGGGCCUCCCUGGACCUGCCGAGUGUAACUGCGACCCGCGAGGACAGCUCGGGCGUGUCGGAACUGCCCGAGGACGACGUGUCGCCGGUGGACCUCGACGUCGGCACCUCUGUCG